This 2794-nucleotide long non-coding RNA is filed under the name Pelobates cultripes (western spadefoot toad). The record is from RNAcentral. Lineage: Eukaryota; Metazoa; Chordata; Amphibia; Anura; Pelobatidae.
CCGGCAAGCCUGUGUCAGCAACCCCUGCCAUGACCCCUCCUUUUUGUCAGACACCGAUGUCUCCUGUGUUGGGGUGGAUGGUACACCCCGCAGUAGCCCCUUCCCUACACUCCUGCAUGUUGGUUCACACAUACUCUCACGUUUUGUUGUUUCUUCUACUUGUCCCAUUAACCUCUUGGGUGCUGAUGUUCUUUCUCGGCUCCAGGGUCCAGUUAACUACACCCUUAUCACAGACAGACACCACUGUACUCUGCUCACUCCCCAUCUUGUUGAACCUAACUGACAAUACAGGGAGUGCACGGGUCACACCCCCCCCCAGUGCUCUGGAUCGUAUCCCCCAAGAACUUUGGUCCACCGGCCCGGAUGAUAUUGGACGCUUACAUGUACCCCCCGUCCUGGUCCAGCUCCUGCCUGGAGCACUUCCUCUUCGUAGACCUCAGUAUCCUCUGAAGCCAGCACAAGCUGAAACCAUCACCAAACAAGUUGAGUCUCUGCUUGCCAAAGGUGCCCUCACCAAGUGCACAUCUCCAUGCAACACCCCACUUUUCCCUGUUCAAAAGCGAACUGUUAAGGGCCAACCCGACCAGUACCGCAUGGUACAGGACCUCCGUGCUGUUAAUGAAGUAACCAUAAAGGACACUGCUAUUGUUCCAAACCCCCAUACCCUUUUGUCCCAGGUGCCACCCAAUUCAACAAUUUUUUUCUGUAGUGGAUCUAGCUAAUGCCUUUUUCAGUGUCCCCCUUGACCCUUCCUGCCAUUUUCUCUUCACCUUCACACAUGAAGGACAACAAUAUACCUGGACUGUUAUGCCUCAGGGAGCUCAGAACUCUCCCACACAGUUUGCUCAUGCCAUGUCUCUAGUUUUGGAUCCCUGGCAGAAAUCUCAUCUGGAUGUUAUUCUACUUCAAUAUGUUGAUGACCUCCUUCUCUGUGCUCCUAAUUUGCUUAUUGCAGAGCGUGACUCAGAAGAUCUCCUAUGUUUCCUCGCUGCUGCAGGUUGCAAAACUUCCAAAUCCAAGCUGCAAUGGUGCCGGCCCUCUGUGGUCUUCUUGGGACAUUGUCUUUCCCAUGGCACCAGACAUCUAACUUCUCAGCGUGUACAAGCUAUUUUGCAACUCCCAUUACCUGCAACACAUCAGACUCUUCAUGCCUUCUUGGGUCUUAUCACAUACUGCAGGUCCUGGAUACCCGAAGCAUCAAAGCUCAUGCAGCCACUCUAUGAUGCCCUCAGGAGUGAGCCCUUUCACCUCACUGAAGAAACUAUCAUCUGUUUCCACAAUCUGAAAAGAGCUAUUGCUUCUGCACCUGCCUUGGGCCUACCCAACUACCAACUUCCUUUCAAUCUGUUUGUCUCUGAAAAAUCAGGACAUGCUUCCGGAGUCCUCACCCAGAAACAUGGAUCAAGACAACGACCUAUUGGCUAUUUUUCCUGCAUGCUUGACCCUGUUGCGAGAGGUAGUCCCUUUUGCCUCAGAGCGGUGUUUGCCGCCAGCGCCCUCCUGGACAAGACCAAUGAUUUUGUUCUUGGCCACCACCUCACAGUGUUGGCCCCUCAUGACAUUACUGCAAUCCUGCAACAAACUCAACCUAAGCACCUUUCUUCUCAAUGUUACCUUCGUCUACAAACAUCCUUACUGUUACCUGACAAUGUGAAACUUCAGCGAUGUCUCUCCCUGUACCCGGCCACUCUUCUGCCACUUCCCAAGGGGGGAAUUGUGCAUUACUGGUAUAGCCUGGACAUCAACCCAGAGGUUUGAGCAAUUGUGCAUUACUGGUAUAGCCUGGACAUCAACCCAGAGGUUUGAGCAGAUUUGCAGCUGCCUGCACUUGCACCCCCACAUAAUGAACAAUCAGAGGCCCUACUUCACUGCACCUUAUGGUUUAAAGACAGACCAGGCCCUGAUAUGAACUAUGAGGAAGAAUUAUUCCAGCUCAAGGAAAUUCCAAUUACCCUGACUGACUUGUUAUGGGACCCCACAGGUACCAUGCUCAUCUUAGUCCAUCUUCCAGAGAACAUGACACAUCUCUACCAUCAUUGGGAAACAGCUAUCCCACACAUAUCUCUCACCAGAUCCUCUGACACCUCAUGGAAAGACCUAGGCCCGAUGGCCAAACCUGGAGUCAAAUGAACCAAGAACAACUGACUUCUAUGGGGACCAGCAAAAAGACUAUUAACUACUGUACAGCAGGGUACCCUAGGUACCACACAGACGUCUGUGAGGACCCACUCAUCAUAGACUGUGACCCUGAUAUUUCCCCACUUAGCUGAUCAGGCCGCUAAGGAAGCAGCACAACAAGGAUGGGAAGUGGACAGAAGAGUGGCCACAGACGCAGUGCCCAUCUACACCAUGCAGACACUGCCUACGGAUCUUAGGCUUCUAAAGGAACAACCAGCUACUGCUACUCCCCAGGAGAAACAAAGUUGGAAGAACAAAGGAGCUGUACUCCGUGAUGAUGUUUACACUAUCAAUCUCAAGUUUUGCCUAUCCAGAAAUAUGUAUCCAGCGGUGGUCCAAUGGGCCCAUGGGCCAGCCCACCUGUCAAAACAUCUGAUGAACUCAUUGAUUGACAAGUAUUUUGAAACACCAGGCAUCACUACCUUAACACAGAAUUACUGUAAAUCUUGUACUAUAUGUGCUAAAUGCAAUCCUGGAGAGAUUAUAAAGACUGCACCUAAUCAUCUAGCUAAACCACAAUACCCCUUCCAGAGGAUCCAGAUUGAUCACAUUCAGAUGCCAAAGAGUGGACGUUAUGAAUAUGCAUUGGUCAUAGUGGACAUGUUUCCAGGAUGGC